Molecule: long non-coding RNA, 765 nt
Organism: Macrobrachium nipponense
Lineage: Eukaryota; Metazoa; Arthropoda; Malacostraca; Decapoda; Palaemonidae
Exons: 3
Source: RefSeq, a predicted model, not a curated record
GAAGUUUUGUGUUUGUGGGAAUUAUUGGAGUUGUACUUAAUCUGAAAAGUUGAACUAUUGUGAUAAUCUCUUCAUGGUUAAAUACCAACAAGACUGACAUUUUUAGCAAUGUCCAAGAAUUUGGCAAGUAGUUGCAGAGUACUUGAAUUACUUUGGUCCAUGAAGCUGACAUUGAAGUUGUAAUUUUCUACAUUUGUUGGAGUUCUUCAUAAAAAAAUAAAGAUUAAACUUUCAAGAUCAGCUGAAGGAUAUUUUACCUUAAUGACAUGGAUAUACCAAAGAUAUGUACAAAACAGGAAGCUUCAAAUAAGUGAAUAUUGGAAGUCGUAGAGGAAAGGAUGGUCUAUUCUACAUGAAGUAGUAGUCUUUCAGAGGCUCCAGUAAGAGUACGGGAACUGAAAUCUCGAGAAAUUAUUACCUAGCAGUCAUCAAGAAGCUAUUUAAGUCUCGCCCUUCUAGGUUUUCAAAUGGAGAAACUACCAACGGCAAGCCAACAAUUUUAAGAUCAAGUUACAAGCCAAAUUGUUCAGUUGCUGUCAAGAGUACUCUGUUCUCUGGCCUUCUCAAGUUGGCAUGACUAACAAGAACGAACAACCAACCAUACAUAGUUUUAGGCCAACAUAUCAGUGAAGCCCAGCGCAGAAAUAAAAAGUGAAAAAUUUCCGGUACGAUGAUCAAGUCGGCCAUCAGACUUAAUAAUUUUUGUACUGUGUAAUACGGUCGUUAAGUCUGUCAUCGGACUUUGUAAUUUUUUUAUUUUGACAA